CUCACUCAGCUCACCCAUUAAACCCUGCGGGUCUGUUUCACUUUUUCCUUCCCACACAAACAUUACAGUAACAGUCUGGCCUUCCCAAACCACCACUGGAAACUUCAACUGAACUGAUCAUAUAUCAGUCAACUCUAGGAGACCAGCUCUGAUUCCAAGAAACUGUGACAUUGCCUCCAUUGGAAGUUACAACCUUCACCUGCCAACCUGGACUCAUCCCAUAGGUUGUGACAUCAGAAAGUUGAUAGACGUGAUCGCUAAGAAUCUUGCCGAAUAUUCUAGGACUACAAGUAAAAGAGACCCUAUUUUCUGUGCUGGGAAAAGCAUCUGAGUGGACCUAACACAGGGCAGUGAAAGUGAUGCAGAACAAACUUCAAAGCCUCCAGGAGCACACGUGACCUCAGGAAAUGAACAGAAACAACCUAGCUCUCCAAAGAGGAGUAUUUCAUUCAACUCCGAACUGCUCACACAUUAUGCAACUGUGAACAAGGCUCAUUUAAAAAUCCAUGAAGCUUCUAAUGUUUUCACCACAAAAUAUAUUAAGUAUUGAGGUGCUGGAUAUGUUGACUAGUUUGAUUUAAUUAUUCCACAUUAUAUGCAUAAAUAGUAACAUCACCUUGUUCCCCAUAAAAUUAUACAAUUAUAAAUUGUCAAUUUGCAAUUAAAACAAUAAAAUCC
Long non-coding RNA from Homo sapiens (human), 678 nucleotides. Ensembl annotates it as long intergenic non-protein coding RNA 2583. NCBI's taxonomy places the organism in Eukaryota, Metazoa, Chordata, Mammalia, Primates, Hominidae. The record is from Ensembl.